This 504-nucleotide ribosomal RNA is filed under the name Streptomyces sp. MWW186. Its description in RNAcentral is "bacterial SSU rRNA". It matches the Rfam family "Bacterial small subunit ribosomal RNA", at positions 97 to 615 of the family's 1533-position model. Lineage: Bacteria; Bacillati; Actinomycetota; Actinomycetes; Kitasatosporales; Streptomycetaceae. The record is from RNAcentral.
GGCGAACGGGUGAGUAACACGUGGGCAAUCUGCCCUGCACUCUGGGACAAGCCCUGGAAACGGGGUCUAAUACCGGAUACGACCUGUCAAGGCAUCUUGGCGGGUGGAAAGCUCCGGCGGUGCAGGAUGAGCCCGCGGCCUAUCAGCUUGUUGGUGGGGUGAUGGCCUACCAAGGCGACGACGGGUAGCCGGCCUGAGAGGGCGACCGGCCACACUGGGACUGAGACACGGCCCAGACUCCUACGGGAGGCAGCAGUGGGGAAUAUUGCACAAUGGGCGAAAGCCUGAUGCAGCGACGCCGCGUGAGGGAUGACGGCCUUCGGGUUGUAAACCUCUUUCAGCAGGGAAGAAGCGAGAGUGACGGUACCUGCAGAAGAAGCGCCGGCUAACUACGUGCCAGCAGCCGCGGUAAUACGUAGGGCGCAAGCGUUGUCCGGAAUUAUUGGGCGUAAAGAGCUCGUAGGCGGCUUGUCGCGUCGGUUGUGAAAGCCCGGGGCUUAACCC